This 254-nucleotide ribosomal RNA is filed under the name uncultured bacterium. RNAcentral's name for it is "partial 16S ribosomal RNA". It matches the Rfam family "Bacterial small subunit ribosomal RNA", at positions 524 to 776 of the family's 1533-position model. The record is from RNAcentral.
UACGGGGGGGGCAAGCGUUGUUCGGAAUUACUGGGCGUAAAGGGCUUGUAGGCGGCCAACUAAGUCAGACGUGAAAUCCCUCGGCUUAACCGGGGAACUGCGUCUGAUACUGGAUGGCUUGAGUUUGGGAGAGGGAUGCGGAAUUCCAGGUGUAGCGGUGAAAUGCGUAGAUAUCUGGAGGAACACCGGUGGCGAAAGCGGCAUCCUGGACCAACACUGACGCUGAGUGAGCGAAAGCCAGGGGAGCAAACGGG